CUCGGAAGCAGCCCCCUCCCUUUGAGGCUGCAGCUUCGCCCUGUCUUGGGAACCGGACCAAGGAGACGCCCCCUCCCCCCCCAGACCUGAAACUCCGCAGAUGGGGAAAAGGCUGUCUCUGUGAGGAGUGGAAAGAGGUCUUCCUUGCACUGAGGGGCCCUAGCUCUUCCAGAAUGAUGGACAGCAGCCUCUUCCUCUUCCUCCUCCUUCUGAGGGGGGUCCCAGGUGGAGGCCUCCCCCUCCCAGCCCUGGUUGCCCUGACCCAUCCUGUCAGCAGGUUGUGUUGAAGCAAAACUGGGGGCGUCCGUCCCUGUCUGGAGAGGAAACCCACCACCCGCCCUGAUCCAGAGAUGGAGGGCAAGCUCGGGGGGUCUUCCAGCGCAGGUGGGUGAUGGCUGCACAAUCCCUUGAACCUGGCAGGGAGGCUUAACGGGUCUGGGGCAGAGGGUCAGUUCUGGGGGCCACAGGGGGGAAGGGGUUCCAAUGUCUGGAAGGUUCAGUCACUGAGGAGGUCCUGUUCACCUUGCUCCCCAAGUGGGACCAAAAGAUACCAAAAAAUCCGUAGGCUGGAUGGCCUUUGUCGGGGGUUGUACUGGAUAGUUCUUGGGUUCUCUUCUGAC
RNAcentral lists this long non-coding RNA (620 nucleotides) under Anolis carolinensis (green anole). RNAcentral's name for it is "lncRNA (ENSACAG00000042603.1)". The record is from RNAcentral. Lineage: Eukaryota; Metazoa; Chordata; Lepidosauria; Squamata; Anolidae.